RNAcentral lists this unclassified non-coding RNA (231 nucleotides) under Hevea brasiliensis (rubber tree). Lineage: Eukaryota; Viridiplantae; Streptophyta; Magnoliopsida; Malpighiales; Euphorbiaceae. The record is from RNAcentral.
CAAUUCUCGAAGCCUAUUAUUCCUAUGCGCUGAACGCCUCGACCAAGCUCACCUUCGACUACCAGUUCAUCGCCAAUCCCGGCUACAACGCCGACCGCGGCCCGGCGAAUGUCUUCGCGGNNNNNNNNNNNUGGCAGUUCUGAAACAUGACCCGCGAGUGAUUGCGGGAUGAGGCAAGGAGCGUCCGAUGACCGCCACCAUCGUUCUCUUCGAAUUGGCGGGCUACGUCGG